UCUUAUCCUUUAUCCACAGUGUCAACAAGGCCGCGGGUAAAGCACCUCCACUACCACCUCCACUACCACCACCACUCCACAGCAGAUACUUUGUCCAUGAGGAUGCGUAUCUCCGGGAUGAGGCAAGGCGUGUAGUUGGUCCAGCCCCCCGCCAGCCCUUCCGCCAGCGUGCGUCCCUCCCAGUGGCCCGCACUCGUGCACCUCCGCUGAGCCACCUCUGUUGACGACGCUGGUACCUCAAACACUGAUGGCCAAGUAUAUGACAGUAGAUACAGCCGCCCGUCGGAGCCUAGGGGGUAGAGGAGCACGUGUUUCCCAAAUAUGUUCACUACCUGGUCUGCCUGCGUGACUAACCUGAACCGGCCGGCUUGACAGGUACGCGUGCCAGACAAUGGGCGAUAAAAAGACCCGAACGUGGCCAGGCGGUGUGCCGUGAGCCGUAAGGAGAAUGUAGCAGGGGAGCCAAGGACACCCCACCGCUCCUCCCUCCACCACCACCUGCUUCCGCCCGCCUCUCCGCCACCCCGCCUGCAGCUCCCCACGCCCCGAGCAUCGCACCACCUCUCCAUCACCUCUGCCU
Long non-coding RNA from Eriocheir sinensis (Chinese mitten crab), 580 nucleotides. RefSeq lists it as uncharacterized. The transcript has 5 exons. NCBI's taxonomy places the organism in Eukaryota, Metazoa, Arthropoda, Malacostraca, Decapoda, Varunidae. The record is from RefSeq and is a predicted model, not a curated record.